Molecule: ribosomal RNA, 464 nt
Filed under: Vreelandella stevensii
Lineage: Bacteria; Pseudomonadati; Pseudomonadota; Gammaproteobacteria; Oceanospirillales; Halomonadaceae
Description: partial 16S ribosomal RNA
Rfam family: Bacterial small subunit ribosomal RNA
Source: RNAcentral
CCUAGGGUGGCAGCAGUGGGGAAUAUUGGACAAUGGGCGAAAGCCUGAUCCAGCCAUGCCGCGUGUGUGAAGAAGGCCUUCGGGUUGUAAAGCACUUUCAGUGGGGAAGAAAGCCUUGGGGCUAAUACCCUCGAGGAAGGACAUCACCCACAGAAGAAGCACCGGCUAACUCCGUGCCAGCAGCCGCGGUAAUACGGAGGGUGCGAGCGUUAAUCGGAAUUACUGGGCGUAAAGCGCGCGUAGGCGGUCUGAUAAGCCGGUUGUGAAAGCCCCGGGCUCAACCUGGGAACGGCAUCCGGAACUGUCAGGCUAGAGUGCAGGAGAGGAAGGUAGAAUUCCCGGUGUAGCGGUGAAAUGCGUAGAGAUCGGGAGGAAUACCAGAGGCGAAGGCGGCCUUCUGGACUGACACUGACGCUGAGGUGCGAAAGCGUGGGUAGCAAACAGGAUUAGAUACCCCUGUAGUC